Molecule: long non-coding RNA, 527 nt
Organism: Vespula pensylvanica (western yellowjacket)
Lineage: Eukaryota; Metazoa; Arthropoda; Insecta; Hymenoptera; Vespidae
Exons: 2
Source: RefSeq, a predicted model, not a curated record
AAUUAUCUUACAUGUCAGGUUGUCCCCUUGCUUCCUCACGGAUGGCAAGCACCUUUGCUUCAGGAAAUUAUGCGGCGUGACUAUUUAGGACUAUGACCUUUGACAAUUUCGAAACGACUUAUAACUAAACGCAUAAGCAUAAGAACACGUUAACGACGCCUACGUGACUGAGAUGUUACUCUAUUGCACGAAAUAAAGAAAUCGAUUGUUAAGUACAUACACGAGUGGAUGGUUAAAUAAAUGAGUUAAAAAUAUACGAAUUUUUGAAAGGCGACUAUUGAAAUUGAAGAUAAAUGAAAAAGGGAGAAGAAAAAAAAAAAGAAAUUGAGUGAAAAUAGCCGAAUAAGCGGGUAGGAAAUCCGAUAUUGUUUGCCAUUGCAAGCGAUACGGAAGAAGUGGAAGCACGGAAACGUAAUUGGUGUUCCGAAAUAAUUUUAAUUUUACUUUUGUGAAUCGUUAUUGAUUCAUUCUCAAUCGGGAAUGAUAAAGAAUAAGGUACCGAAUAAAAUUACGCGAAUUCGUUUUUA